GUCCCUAUAGAUAUGAUGCAAGUCGAGCGGAUCUUCAUUAGCUUGCUUUUGAAGAUCAGCGGCGGACGGGUGAGUAACACGUGGGCAACCUGCCUGUAAGACUGGGAUAACUUCGGGAAACCGGAGCUAAUACCGGAUAAUCCUUUUCCUCUCAUGAGGAAAAGCUGAAAGACGGUUUCGGCUGUCACUUACAGAUGGGCCCGCGGCGCAUUAGCUAGUUGGUGAGGUAACGGCUCACCAAGGCAACGAUGCGUAGCCGACCUGAGAGGGUGAUCGGCCACACUGGGACUGAGACACGGCCCAGACUCCUACGGGAGGCAGCAGUAGGGAAUCUUCCGCAAUGGACGAAAGUCUGACGGAGCAACGCCGCGUGAGCGAUGAAGGCCUUCGGGUCGUAAAGCUCUGUUGUCAGGGAAGAACAAGUAUCGGAGUAACUGCCGGUACCUUGACGGUACCUGACCAGAAAGCCACGGCUAACUACGUGCCAGCAGCCGCGGUAAUACGUAGGUGGCAAGCGUUGUCCGGAAUUAUUGGGCGUAAAGCGCGCGCAGGCGGUUCCUUAAGUCUGAUGUGAAAGCCCCCGGCUCAACCGGGGAGGGUCAUUGGAAACUGGGGAACUUGAGUGCAGAAGAGGAGAGCGGAAUUCCACGUGUAGCGGUGAAAUGCGUAGAGAUGUGGAGGAACACCAGUGGCGAAGGCGGCUCUCUGGUCUGUAACUGACGCUGAGGCGCGAAAGCGUGGGGAGCGAACAGGAUUAGAUACCCUGGUAGUCCACGCCGUAAACGAUGAGUGCUAAGUGUUAGAGGGUUUCCGCCCUUUAGUGCUGCAGCAAACGCAUUAAGCACUCCGCCUGGGGAGUACGGCCGCAAGGCUGAAACUCAAAGGAAUUGACGGGGGCCCGCACAAGCGGUGGAGCAUGUGGUUUAAUUCGAAGCACGCGAAGAACCUUACCAGGUCUUGACAUCCUCUGACAACCCUAGAGAUAGGGCGUUCCCCUUCGGGGGACAGAGUGACAGUGGUGCAUGGUUGUCGUCAGCCUCGUGUCGUGAGAUGUUGGGUUAAGUUCGCA
RNAcentral lists this ribosomal RNA (1069 nucleotides) under Bacillus sp. (in: firmicutes). RNAcentral describes it as "bacterial SSU rRNA". It matches the Rfam family "Bacterial small subunit ribosomal RNA", at positions 44 to 1091 of the family's 1533-position model. Lineage: Bacteria; Bacillati; Bacillota; Bacilli; Caryophanales; Bacillaceae. The record is from RNAcentral.